This 305-nucleotide ribosomal RNA is filed under the name uncultured bacterium. Its description in RNAcentral is "bacterial SSU rRNA". It matches the Rfam family "Bacterial small subunit ribosomal RNA", at positions 335 to 637 of the family's 1533-position model. The record is from RNAcentral.
UUGCCUACGGGGGGCAGCAGUGAGGAAUAUUGGUCAAUGGGCGAGAGCCUGAACCAGCCAAGUCGCGUGAGGGAAGACGGUCCUAUGGAUUGUAAACCUCUUUUGCCGGGGAGCAAAAAGCGGUACGUGUACCGCAUCGAGAGUACCCGGAGAAAAAGCAUCGGCUAACUCCGUGCCAGCAGCCGCGGUAAUACGGAGGAUGCGAGCGUUAUCCGGAUUUAUUGGGUUUAAAGGGUGCGUAGGCGGUUUGAUAAGUUAGAGGUGAAAUGUCGGGGCUCAACCCCGGAACCGCCUCUAAUACUGUU